Molecule: non-coding RNA, 74 nt
Organism: Parelaphostrongylus tenuis
Lineage: Eukaryota; Metazoa; Nematoda; Chromadorea; Rhabditida; Metastrongylidae
Source: the annotation of a GenBank genome assembly
GCGUCGGUAGUGCAAUGGUUCGAGCAUGUGUCCCCGAAUAGGGUGGAAUGUGGGUUCGAGUCCCAUCUGACGUA